Planococcus citri (citrus mealybug) is the source of this 801-nucleotide long non-coding RNA. RefSeq lists it as uncharacterized. The record is from RefSeq and is a predicted model, not a curated record. The transcript has 2 exons. Lineage: Eukaryota; Metazoa; Arthropoda; Insecta; Hemiptera; Pseudococcidae.
UGUAAAAAUAAAUAAUUUGUACAAUUUUCUUCACAAAUACAUGCAUAUAAACAAAAUAAUUUAUAGGUUGUUUCAAUUAAAACUAAAAUUGUAAUUUCUUAAAGUUAAGACUAUCAAACCAAAUGACAUUUUUCCUAAUAUACGCGGACAUGUUUUCACCGGUUUAUACUUGCUUAUCAGCUUUCCUAAAAAUUAAAUUUUUUUAUAUUUUCGAACCACGUUGUUUGCAGUGCACUUUGCGUUUGAAAAGGCCCAGACGAAAUUUUUUCCUUUCUUCGUAGUAAUUUUAUUCACGAAGUAGGUCUACAUUUUGAAGAAAGAAAUUGACUGCAAAAGGCGAACUAUCGCAAUAAUCUUAUAAGGUACUUACUGCUUACGUUUUACGAUUACAAGCCACUGGACAGAGACGAUAUCAAGAAGACCUGCACAGUGCCCAGCACAUCAAUCAAGGAACGUAACCAAUAAAGAGGCUAAUUGGAGAUUUUAUUCAUCUGUUUUUGUUCAAGUUCAUUUAUACAUUUUGUCAAAAUGCCAGAUCGGAACGAAUUGGAAAGACUGCUCCUCAUUUGUAUGGGAUCUCUUGUGGUCGUUAUGGCUCAACAAAUUCAGCUAAACAAAAAGUUGUGUUAUCUUGUGCUACAAAAGAAAAGACAACAGCGGAUCACUACAAAUAAACUUAAACGAAUGCAUCGUAGAAGGCUUUUCAAAAAUUAAUAUUAGGUACUCGUUAUUUGUAUCGACGUUAUUAUUCAAAAAUUGAUAUAUUUAUGAUUAUGAAUAACUAAUUUCUUUUUCUAUUGA